AUCUUCUUCAUUUUCAGUAUCACUCUAAUACCAAGUGUCACGUAUGAAGGGAUCUCAGAGCAAAUUCCAAUAAUGUGCUGCUCGAUCUACUCUUCACAGGGCUGAAAAGAACAGAUCAGCCUCCUUAGCAUGAGAACCUUGUCUCUAUGACUUAGGCCACACUCAACAAUAAUACAAUGGAAUACGACACCAGGAAACACCACGAAGAAGAAGAAAUAAAAGAGAAGAGAACUUUUAUUAAAUAAUCUCUCACCAGAUUACAAUAGAAGCUCUCCUGAUCCCUCGAUCUCUCACAGAUACAAGAAGAUCUCUAGAUGAUCUCUCCCUCGAUGAUCACUCUAACCCCACCCUUAAGGGUCCUUUUAUAGAAGAGCAAUCUCAAGUUACAAAGUUCCUC
Molecule: long non-coding RNA, 397 nt
Filed under: Elaeis guineensis (African oil palm)
Lineage: Eukaryota; Viridiplantae; Streptophyta; Magnoliopsida; Arecales; Arecaceae
Description: long non-coding RNA (EGUI_LNC053306)
Source: RNAcentral